ACACGAGCGGCGAACGGGUGAGUAACACGUGGGUGAUCUGCCCUGUACUUCGGGAUAAGCCUGGGAAACUGGGUCUAAUACCGGAUAUGACCUUCGGUUGCAUGACCGUGGGUGGAAAGAUUUAUCGGUACAGGAUGGGCCCGCGGCCUAUCAGCUUGUUGGUGGGGUAAUGGCCUACCAAGGCGACGACGGGUAGCCGGCCUGAGAGGGCGACCGGCCACACUGGGACUGAGACACGGCCCAGACUCCUACGGGAGGCAGCAGUGGGGAAUAUUGCACAAUGGGCGAAAGCCUGAUGCAGCGACGCCGCGUGAGGGAUGACGGCCUUCGGGUUGUAAACCUCUUUCGACAGGGACGAAGCGCAAGUGACGGUACCUGUAGAAGAAGCACCGGCCAACUACGUGCCAGCAGCCGCGGUAAUACGUAGGGUGCGAGCGUUGUCCGGAAUUACUGGGCGUAAAGAGCUUGUAGGCGGUUCGUCGCGUCGUUCGUGAAAACUUGGGGCUCAACCCCAAGCUUGCGGGCGAUACGGGCGGACUAGAGUACUUCAGGGGAGACUGGAAUUCCUGGUGUAGCGGUGAAAUGCGCAGAUAUCAGGAGGAACACCGGUGGCGAAGGCGGGUCUCUGGGAAGUAACUGACGCUGAGAAGCGAAAGCGUGGGUAGCGAACAGGAUUAUAUACCCUGGUAGUCCACGCCGUAAACGGUGGGUACUAGGUGUGG
Molecule: ribosomal RNA, 722 nt
Filed under: Nocardia neocaledoniensis
Lineage: Bacteria; Bacillati; Actinomycetota; Actinomycetes; Mycobacteriales; Nocardiaceae
Description: bacterial SSU rRNA
Rfam family: Bacterial small subunit ribosomal RNA
Source: RNAcentral